Molecule: ribosomal RNA, 253 nt
Filed under: uncultured bacterium
Lineage: Bacteria
Description: partial 16S ribosomal RNA
Rfam family: Bacterial small subunit ribosomal RNA
Source: RNAcentral
UACAGAGGUGGCAAGCGUUGUUCGGAAUUACUGGGCGUAAAGGGCGCGUAGGCGGUUCGUUAAGUCCUGUGUGAAAUCCCCCGGCUCAACUGGGGAACUGCACAGGAAACUAGCGGGCUUGAGUUCGGGAGAGGGAAGCGGAAUUCCGGGUGUAGCGGUGAAAUGCGUAGAUAUCCGGAGGAACACCGGUGGCGAAGGCGGCUUCCUGGACCGACACUGACGCUGAGGCGCGAAAGCUAGGGGAUCAAACGGG